AUUAGUCGAGGUGCGUGCAAGCUGGCCCGGACACCACGGUUAUCAAAAAAAAAAAUAAUAAAAAAAAUCAAUAUCCUGCCUUUACAGGUCAAAACUUCUGAAAUACAUAGUGGUGGAGUUUUGUUUUUCCAAAUAUCCAAAAUUAGUGUUUCUUCCAUUGAUUUGGAUCGUUUCCGUGAGUUGGUAUUCCUAGGAUGUGUUACUUUCUCCUUGUCUUAAGGCCACUUCAUUCAUUUUGUUUACUUAUCUACAGGUUAUACAGAGGCAUACACAAUUCGGAUAGUUGAGGUAAUCCUAUUUUUUUCUUGUUAGAUCUCCUUGCUUACUCUCCCCAUUUCCCCAUUUAGAUAUAAAAUUAAAAUUAGUAGAAGGAAGUAGAGAUCUCUAUUUUUUUGUACAGUAGGAUCUUUUAGUUGAUAGAAGGCAAAAGAUGUCUUUGGUGGAAUAAUAUCUUAUAAAUAAUCACAUCAAUAGUUUUCUAAUGCUGAUUUUGAAAGUUCAUGUAAAAGAUAAACUCUGCCAAAAUGUGCAUUGACACAAGCACACCUAUUUUGGAUGUGCAAGAAGUGGUAUAUAUAUUGGCUAGCAAUAAAUCAAGUGAGGUACACCUGGCUUUAGAGUGUGACUGGUCUGGUUGUAAUUUCCAAUGAUCUUUGGUGACCUUGGAGAAACUGUAAAAGGAAUUUAUGUUUUUCCUAUUGAGAGUGUAUAUUAAUCACUAACUUAAACUAUAUGAAUGAUGGUUCAGGGACUGAAGAACUUCAACAAAUCAGCAAGAGAAUUUAUUCAAUUCCUCAAAACUAUUUAGUGUGUGACAAUUAUCAUAAGGCAUUCAAAACAUAUAGCAAAGCUGAAGUUGCGCUGCAUAACAAGAGGAUUGACUGCUGGAUCAUUAUUAAAGCAAAGGUACUUGAUUCAAGAAGUGGACGGCACUUGAAGAUGUUCAAACGGGAGUAACAAUGCGUAUCAUGAAUGCAACCAUUAGUCAUUAUUGUUAGGAUUGACUUAAGUUUUCCUUUAACCUUAUUAAGUAGUAGUUCUUUGAGAUUUUAACACAUUUGGUAUUGUAAUUUUACACUACUUAAUAUUCUUUUUAAUAUAAUGAAUAUUUUACUUGAUUUUUCCUUUA
Non-coding RNA from Nicotiana tabacum (common tobacco), 1129 nucleotides. Lineage: Eukaryota; Viridiplantae; Streptophyta; Magnoliopsida; Solanales; Solanaceae. The record is from RefSeq and is a predicted model, not a curated record.